Molecule: unclassified non-coding RNA, 200 nt
Filed under: soil metagenome
Description: partial contains internal transcribed spacer 2 and large subunit ribosomal RNA
Source: RNAcentral
CUUGGAUGUGGGGGUUGCAGGUCCGCUUUUGUGGUCUGCUCCUCUAAAAUGUAUUAGUGGGUUAGUCCCCUAAAUCUAUUGGUGUGAUAAUUAUCUACGCCGUGGAUUGGGAUGGCUAUAUAGACUCGCUUCUAACUGUCCUGACGGACGACUUUGACAUUUUUGACCUCAAAUCAGGUAAGACUACCUGCUGAACUUAA